Oreochromis niloticus (Nile tilapia) is the source of this 213-nucleotide long non-coding RNA. RefSeq lists it as uncharacterized. The record is from RefSeq and is a predicted model, not a curated record. Lineage: Eukaryota; Metazoa; Chordata; Actinopteri; Cichliformes; Cichlidae. The transcript has 2 exons.
UAUGGUUAGAAUGACUUUUAUUUUUACAGGAUGAGGAAUCUCGCUCUAGUGUGCCUCCACCAGGUAGAGCAGCUGCUCUUCCCCUAAGCUCCCAUGGAGCCCACGAAAUGGUGGUCAUUUUGGAGGGAAUAACGGCAAUUCUUCGCAGCAUGACGGCCCAUCUAAAACGGAUCUGCUCCUGCCGGGACUGCCUCCGCCCCCCCUCCCCUGAAU